Molecule: long non-coding RNA, 235 nt
Filed under: Elaeis guineensis (African oil palm)
Lineage: Eukaryota; Viridiplantae; Streptophyta; Magnoliopsida; Arecales; Arecaceae
Description: long non-coding RNA (EGUI_LNC010868)
Source: RNAcentral
UUGUUUUGUCUGUACUAUGUUAAUCUAACACUCGGGUGGAUUGCUUUAAUCUUGCACGAUUGCUUGCCUAGGAUUUUGAUAGAAAAAGACAGGCUUUCUUAUCUCAUGGACGCUGUCCAAAUUGCCAACGAACAAAAUGUGCCGACUAAGCUGUUGGGUACCAUCCUCAUCAUCUAUCCUGCUAAUAUUUAUCCACGUCUCCCUAGACACAUAAUUUGAUGAAUUGAACCGGCUU